RNAcentral lists this long non-coding RNA (319 nucleotides) under Athene cunicularia (burrowing owl). Its description in RNAcentral is "lncRNA (ENSACUG00000009884.1)". Lineage: Eukaryota; Metazoa; Chordata; Aves; Strigiformes; Strigidae. The record is from RNAcentral.
GUCAGUUGUCAGACCUCCGUGAUGUUCUGUUGAGAGGAUAUGAAACCAUAGGCUGUAACGAAUUACAAGUUCUUUGCUGUUGCCCAGCCAACACCUGAGGGAUCACGAACAAACCUGGGAAUCCUUGCUUUUCAUUGCCCAACGCAUUAAGAAUUCUCUCUCACCUGAUGAGCUAACACAACUCACAAAGACUGCAAAAUAGAGCACUGAGACGUCCCCUUUCAGUGAGUAGUCACAACUUCAGUUUUGUAUGUUGUUUUGCUCUGAGAUGUGUUUAUACUGUCGACCGAAGUGCUUCCAUCUAUGCUUGAAAAAUGCC